CUACACGAAGGUGUGAACACCAGGUGGUGAGAUUGGUGGGAGCCAUCUUGGAGCUGACUUAUGGCUACCACAAGCAUCAUCUUUAUUUUACAGACAUACAAGAAUGGCUAAAAUUGCAAGAAAAGAAACCUGUCAAUACCAAACGUGGCAAUGCUUGGAGCAGCUGGAACUCUCCUACACUGAAGGUUGAAUAAACGUGAUACCAGGUGGAAGCUCAGAUCUACACGAGGAAUGAAGAAUGCCGGAAAUCAUAAAUAUAUGCUGAACUGCCAGAACCCAUGGACAUUUAGGACUCGAGUAAAGCACAGGACAAUAAGAGCAACCAAGUACGGCCUCGUCCAAGUACAGCUUUGCAGGAAGAUUAGCCCUGAGCUAACAUCUGCUGCCAAUCCUCUUCUCUGAAGAAGACUGGCCCUGAGGUAACAUCUGUGCCCAUCUUCCUCUACUUUAUAUGUGGGACGCCUACAGCAUGGCUUGCCGAGCAGUGCCAUGUCCGCACUCGGGAUCUGGGCCUGCGAACCCUGGGCCGCCAAAGCAGAACGUGCGAACUUAACGGCUGCGCCACUGGGCCGGCCCCCUCCUCCCUCACUCUUAUAAGGACACCUGCCAUUGGAUUGAGGGCCCACACAGGCCAUCCAGGAUGAUCUCAUCUUGGGAUCCUUCAGUUAAUUACAUCUGCAAAGACCCUUUUUCCAAAUAAGGUCACAUUCACAGGUUCGGGGUUAGGACACGGUCAUAACGGUUUAUUGGGGUUGAGGGGUGGGGAGUGCUAGUUCCGCUACAGCGGAAAAGCUGCCGGAUUUGCUCCAUCUCCGAGCCGUGGAUGACAAGGAGGGAGCCAGGGCUUGGCGAAGGGAGCAAGCCGCCUUCUGGGUUUCUAACAGCGCCUCUUCUAUUGUUUUGUGUUUUUCUCUUUUGUUUUGAGGUUUUCUGCCCUCUUUUCUGGAAGGUGCACAAUGCUCGGCUCUGUGGUUAUUUUCGCCUAACAGCUGUGUUUCCGGUGAGCAGCUGGGAGAUGCUUCUGACUCAGCAGAACUGGAGCAGUAACCGUCAAGAAGCCGCUCAAGCGAGGCUAGAAAUCAAGAAGCAGUUUCCCCCCCAGUCCCCGUCCUUUCACUUCCCCACCCGUGGGCACCUUUUGAAAGUCUCACAGAGCACUUCUGAAAAACCGCUUGGACCCGCGUGCUCGAGGCCUGGCUGGAGGUGGGCCCGCAGCUAGGCUUUCCGAAAACAGAUGGAUUCCGGAAAGGACUGUGCCAAACCCGCCGGCUUUGUUUGGAAGGCCCCUCCCAGGAGGCCCCCCCUUCCCCGCGCGGCUUGUAUCUUACAAGUUUCCCACAGGUCUGAGCAGUGAAAGCAGAGGCGGUCGGGACUUCUGUGGUUUUCCAGGGUGGGGCCCAAGUUGCCUUCCCCAGGCCGGGGUGGCUUAGGUUCUGCAGCUCGCCUGUUUUUCAGAGGUGAUGAUUUCGCCCUGGGUCUGGGAGGCGGCUCCAAAUUUCUACCCACUGGCCCUGGAUUCCAGCCCUGACCUCGAGGGGGGCGCUAGAAGUCCUGCCCGCAGCGGGAAGGGAGCAAACCAGAGAGGACCCGGCGUCCUGGAGAGCUGGCCUCUGUGCAUGCUGGUGCCUGCAAAGGGCUCACGGGAGAGGGAGACAGCUGCACCCGGAGCGCCUUGCUGCUGUUCCGAGAAAGAAAGGAACAAAUAAAUUUAGCUCCAACCUACGCAUCCUUCACAGCUGCUUAUUGACCAAACAGAAAGGGGCCUCUCUUUCAACCCUGGCUUCUCAGCUCUGUGCCCAAGGAGGUCUGCCACGG
This is a long non-coding RNA of Equus asinus (donkey), 1815 nucleotides long. Lineage: Eukaryota; Metazoa; Chordata; Mammalia; Perissodactyla; Equidae. The record is from Ensembl.